UACGUAGGGUGCGAGCGUUAAUCGGAAUUACUGGGCGUAAAGCGUGCGCAGGCGGCGCGUUAAGACAGGUGUGAAAGCCCCGAGCUUAACUUGGGAAUUGCGCUUGUGACUGGCGUGCUGGAGUGUGGCAGAGGGAGGUGGAAUUCCACGUGUAGCAGUGAAAUGCGUAGAGAUGUGGAGGAACACCGAUGGCGAAGGCAGCCUCCUGGGCCAGCACUGACGCUGAGUGAGCGAAAGCCAGGGGAGCAAACGGG
Molecule: ribosomal RNA, 254 nt
Filed under: uncultured bacterium
Lineage: Bacteria
Description: partial 16S ribosomal RNA
Rfam family: Bacterial small subunit ribosomal RNA
Source: RNAcentral